RNAcentral lists this ribosomal RNA (262 nucleotides) under uncultured bacterium. Its description in RNAcentral is "partial 16S ribosomal RNA". It matches the Rfam family "Bacterial small subunit ribosomal RNA", at positions 793 to 1055 of the family's 1533-position model. The record is from RNAcentral.
GUCCUUGCCGUAAACUAUGUAUACUUGGUGUAACCGGACUCAACCCUGGUUGUGCCGUAGCUAACGCGAUAAGUAUACCGCCUGGGGAGUACGCUCGCAAGGGUGAAACUCAAAAGAAUUGACGGGGACCCGCACAAGCAGUGGAGAAUGUGGUUUAAUUCGAUGCAACGCGAAGAACCUUACCCAGACUUGACAUACAGUGGAAGUUAGCAGAAAUGUUAACGCCCUUCGGGCCGCUGAACAGGUGCUGCAUGGCUGUCGU